This is a long non-coding RNA of Equus caballus (horse), 1163 nucleotides long. RefSeq lists it as uncharacterized. The record is from RefSeq and is a predicted model, not a curated record. Lineage: Eukaryota; Metazoa; Chordata; Mammalia; Perissodactyla; Equidae.
ACAAUUCAGAAAACUCAUCCUUGAGAUUCUUUUCCUUUAGAACCACUCCUACUAACAAAAUCUAUAUAAGUCGGGGUUCUCCAAGGAAACAGAACACACACACAUUGUAACCACUAUUCUAACAUUAUUCGUAAGAUAUCUGUAUGUCAGAGGUUGGGAAAUAAGUCUAACAAAAGUUCAGGGAUCUUCGACUUCAGUGAAAUUUCUAGAAGUCUAGUGGUACCCCUUCUAAGCUAAUGAACUGAAUGCCAGGACUCAGAGGCCUACAGUAUCAAAAGACAGAAGACGGAGCCCCUACUGCCCACCUCAGAGGAGCUGGAACGGGGACAACCAAGAUUAUCCUAGGAAAACAUUGGUGUAGCCAAAAGUUGCUGUUGAUUAUAUGUAAGAUCCAAAGAGACAGAUGCAAAUAAAGAGAUAAAGCCAUUUGAUAAGAAGCAGUAGAUGUCUGAGACUUCACAUUUUCAGAGGCUAUUGAGUCUGACUCUCAGGAUCAAAGAGAGAUUCAUCUUAUGUACAUCAGAGACAGACUCAUGAAAGUGGCUAGGAUAUUCAGAGCCUGUCCUUUCACGUGAUAUUUUAGCCCUCUAUUUUUGGGAUACAUACGGUUACAAGCAGGAUAACUCAGAAGCCUGACCAAUGUGAGAAGCUGAAAAAAAUACUUGUGGAUUGACUAGCUUUGGAAUGUCCACUUCCCAUCUCUAACCCUCUCAACAUACAAGGUUGAGGAAUCUAAUCAUGGACAGUGGCUCUUAGCCUUGGAUAUACAUUGGAGUCACCUUUGUGGAAUUUUUAAAAAUUCCAUAAAAAGCUACAUACUAGACCUAUUAAAUCAAAAUCACUGAAUGAGAUACAGUCAUCAGUAUUAUUUAAAGCUCCCCAUAUAGUUCCAAUAUUCAUUGGAAAUUUGAGAAACACUAAGCUCCUUUUUCUGAUGUUUUUUCUCUCUGAGAGACUGAGAGUAAAUCCCCCUCCAAAGAAAUGAAGUUAUUUUCUGAGAUGGGGAAGGAUAAAUACCGUUUUUCAUGCAUUGGGCUCUCUACUUUAGGUGUUAUCUUCACCUAGUUCUUUCUUUGUGGCCAUAGAGUUGAUACAGACUACAGUGUAUCCUUUGGUCCUUAUCUAAUUCUUACUGCAAAAAAUAGGAGCUUCUAAAUAAAUCA